Long non-coding RNA from Gallus gallus (chicken), 738 nucleotides. Lineage: Eukaryota; Metazoa; Chordata; Aves; Galliformes; Phasianidae. The record is from Ensembl.
CUUUAAACACCCACACACCUUUUGCUCUACUUGCACUCUGUGCGUGGUUUCAAGGAAAUAAGAUCUUUUGCUUGAAGACUUCAUCUGCUCCUGCUUGCCACAGCUCAGAAGCCAAUAAUCCUCUCCGUGAUAUCAGGCAUGCUUGCCUGAUACCAUGCCAAGGACAGCGCAUGAGAUUCUUGGGCAUGUGGAAUAGGAACAACAGAUGAGAAACCGCAACAGAUGCAAGGAGCAGUUCUGUGUGUUGAUCACCCUUGUUGCCCUGUUCUGAAGCUUUUCCAGCCAACCUACACCUCUAGAGAAAGAAAGAUCAGAACUGCAGGCAGUAUUCCAGCAAUGAGCAAGUCGUGGACUUACAUGUUGGCACGAUGGUGUCCAGUUUUCUCUCUCUUACUUUGUUGACAAUUGUUAAUAAUUGGUCUGCUUCUUAAGCUGUGUACUGAUAGCAAGCAUGAAUAGUUCUCAUCAAGCUAUCUAUCAUAACCCACAGCUUUUGUUGCUGAGGGAAGCAAUCAGCCCAUCUUUUAUAUGUGAAAUUAGAAUUGUUUUUCCCCUAACCUUCAUAUUUAUCUACAUCAAAUUUCAUCUGCUGUUUUAUUGCCCACUCAAUCUAGUAAGCUCGUUCUCCAGCUCUGCACCAUCAUCUUUACUAUCCAGAAUAAAUGACAGCUAAUAUUGUGUCAGCAGCAAACCUCACAGGACAGAUUUUCUUGCAGUAUUCCUCUUACAAUCUCUCUG